RNAcentral lists this transfer RNA (77 nucleotides) under Candidatus Moraniibacteriota bacterium. RNAcentral describes it as "tRNA-Arg". It matches the Rfam family "tRNA". From Rfam's summary of the family: Transfer RNA (tRNA) molecules are approximately 80 nucleotides in length. Their secondary structure includes four short double-helical elements and three loops (D, anti-codon, and T loops). The record is from RNAcentral. Lineage: Bacteria; Candidatus Moraniibacteriota.
GUCCCCAUAGCUCAGCCGGAUAGAGCGUUGGCUUGCGGAGCCAGAGGCCGGAGGUUCAAGUCCUCCUGGGGACACAA